This 553-nucleotide long non-coding RNA is filed under the name Ananas comosus (pineapple). RNAcentral's name for it is "long non-coding RNA (ACOM_LNC009523)". Lineage: Eukaryota; Viridiplantae; Streptophyta; Magnoliopsida; Poales; Bromeliaceae. The record is from RNAcentral.
AGAUGUGGUGCUUUGAGAAAUACAAAAAUCUUCGCAUUAUUUUUUAUUAUGAAACUUCUGAAUUGAUGACUGAUUCCAUUAGAUAUCAUGUAAGAUAUUUAAAAUAUCUUAAAAAUAAAUUUUACAAUUUUUUGAUAUUAGUUACUGAGGUUAUGGCAAUGAUUAGAAAUCAAUAGCUGAAAAUAAAAAUCUCACAAAAAGUGAUGAUUCAGCACUAAAAUUUUAUAUAAAAAAUAUUAGUUCCGUUUUAGAUAAUGUAAAAUUUUCUAUAAUAAUUUUACCAUAUUUGAAUAUUUUUUAGACCGUUAAACAUGCAAAUAAAAUUGUAAAUUUUGAAUUUCUUCUUAUCACUAGAUAAAUAAUAUCGAAAAAAAUAAGAAAAAUUAUUUCUAGAUAAUUCAAAUAUUUAGAUCAACUUUAACAAAAUCGAUUAUUGAUUUGAAAAUUCUAUCAUCGAAAACAACUUUAAGAUACAGAAACAUGUAUGCUUCUUAAAAGCACAUCUGGUCGGUUCUUCAAUCUAUUAACAAUUUAUUUGAUUAUCUCGUAAUAU